UCUAUUUUUCUUUUUUUUCUUUUAACAAUAUAAUACUAUGACAGAUCUCUUAUAAAAUAAUAAUAAUAACGACACGCAAACGCGAUGCAUCUGAGAAAGAUAAAAAUCGACAAAAGAAAAAAAUAUAUUUAACAAAAAUUUCACAUUCUAGAAAGCUUUUACAUUUUGUCGCUAACUACCUAAUGCUAAGAAUCAAUCGAUGUAUGAUUUUAUAUUGAAUUCUUAAAUCACAAAAUCCUGUUACUUGAUUUGGUUGCUAUAAGUCUUUAAUUUUUUUAAAUAAGAAAAAAACAAUUUUAAAUAAGAAAUAAAUGAAAUACUAUACUAUACUCCACAUGAUUUGAUGAGAAUCAAAAUAUUUAUAGAAAUUGA
This 372-nucleotide long non-coding RNA is filed under the name Trifolium pratense (red clover). RNAcentral describes it as "long non-coding RNA (TPRA_LNC009057)". The record is from RNAcentral. Lineage: Eukaryota; Viridiplantae; Streptophyta; Magnoliopsida; Fabales; Fabaceae.